GACGAACGCUGGCGGCGUGCUUAACACAUGCAAGUCGAACGAUGACGACCGAGCUUGCUCGGUCUGAUUAGUGGCGAACGGGUGAGUAACACGUGAGCAACCUGCCCUUCACUCUGGGAUAACCUCGGGAAAUCGGGGCUAAUACCGGAUAUGAGCUCCUGUCGCAUGGCGGGUGUUGGAAAGUUUUUCGGUGAAGGAUGGGCUCGCGGCCUAUCAGUUUGUUGGUGAGGUAGUGGCUCACCAAGGCGAUGACGGGUAGCCGGCCUGAGAGGGCGACCGGCCACACUGGGACUGAGACGCGGCCCAGACUCCUACGGGAGGCAGCAGUGGGGAAUAUUGCACAAUGGGCGAAAGCCUGAUGCAGCGACGCCGCGUGAGGGAUGACGGCCUUCGGGUUGUAAACCUCUUUCAGCAGGGAAGAAGCGAAAGUGACGGUACCUGCAGAAGAAGCGCCGGCUAACUACGU
This 466-nucleotide ribosomal RNA is filed under the name uncultured bacterium. RNAcentral describes it as "partial 16S ribosomal RNA". It matches the Rfam family "Bacterial small subunit ribosomal RNA", at positions 28 to 506 of the family's 1533-position model. The record is from RNAcentral.